AAGGAGGCCGUGAGGGGGACAGGGUCACUGCUUGGAAAAGGCUUCUGAAGUCACCUAGUCCAGCCUAUGAGCCAACAUCACCAGCAGCUUCGGCCACACUGAAAGGCUCCUUCCUCUGCUGCUUUCUAACCCAGGCUGGCUGGAGGCACGGUGACAUCCCUCACUCACCCAGAGGCAGCUGCCAGGGUUCAAACCCACCGCCCCGCUCACUGUUGCCUUUCUGUACCUGCCUGCAAAGUGUCAGUGCUUCCAAAUGGGGGUAAGACAUGCUCAGUUAAAUUCAUGUUCAUGCUUAGGAAACAGAAUUCCUUCCUGCAUGGAUCUCUGGUAACGUGGACAUAACUUUUACAGAACAUCAUGCAUAUGAUUACACUGGCUUUUUUCUCCAAUAAUGUAAUUGUUGCUAUUGCUGACAGCUAUGCUUUUCCUCACAGUCCUGGUGAACAGUAUGAGUACUUUGCACUCUUCAUCCAAAAGCAAUCAAGAGUUAAACAGCCUAUAUGCGAGAAUGUACAGAAUAUAUGCCAGAUUAUGUAAAUCAGAUAAUAUUUAGAGUUUGAUAACUGAGGAUUUUUUUAAUAUAUCAGGAAAUUAUAUCUUCUGUUUCUUCUUUGCAGUGUUUGGAAAUAGAUUUUGAAUUCUACAAUAUUCCCCAUUCCAUUUGUUUGAGAUCUUCUGCAAACCAAAACCAGUCAAAGUGCUGCAAAGUUAAGGGCUUAGUUUGUAUCUUUCCAUUUGGCAUUUUCAGUAGUGUUGGCUGUUCAGAAGAGAGCAGUGCAUAACUGAAGCAAUUUACUUCCAGUCUGUAGAAGCAGUACAGAAUGUGCUGCUCUACUGUGCAAACAAACAGAAACCCAACUAUAAUUUCCAUAGAAGUUAUCAUAUCUGGUUGGACUUUUCAGGAUUGUAAUUUUAAAAUAUAUUAUGUAAUUCAGAAUUUAUUUCAUAUUAAAUGUAAAAAUUCACUCCUUUAAAAGUAGCAUUUACAUAUUCUGCUCUUUUAAUUUUUAACAUAGACUCUUCCUUAAUGAUCCUGCCUUUCACAGUUUUAGUUUACAUUAAAAAAUAAGAUUUUUUGCAUUUUCUGCCACAUUUGUUUGAUAAAAUAAAUUUAUUUGAUUUAUUUGUUUCA
This is a non-coding RNA of Taeniopygia guttata (zebra finch), 1132 nucleotides long. The record is from RefSeq and is a predicted model, not a curated record. NCBI's taxonomy places the organism in Eukaryota, Metazoa, Chordata, Aves, Passeriformes, Estrildidae.